CGCCAUCGAGCGAAGGUUUAGUUCAAAGUAAACGAUCGUUUCAAUCGUCUCAUACGAAACUUUAUUCGAUACAAGAUAAGCAGAUUGUUGUAGUAAUUAUUCAAACGUUAAUGCAACAAUGGCAACUGCCGUAUUCUUGAGGGCAAGUCUGCGACUUGCAAUGGCACGGGGUGUUUUGGAAAAUACAGUGACAUCUGCAAUGUCUACAGCAUUCAUAGGAGCUCGAAAGCCAUCCAUUAAUUUAAUGGAACAGCCACAGAUGCCUCAGUUGACGAGGAGGUUCUAUAGUAAGAAGAUUCACACGCGACCUUCAACAUCUAUCGAUUAUGAAAGUGAUAGCGAUUCCGAUAACGAUUCAGACUCGGAACGCGAUCGGACUCAGAAGUUACAGGGUGAAUCUGCUUUCUGGAGACGAAAAAUGCGCACACUUCACAGUCACCUUGAUGUUAACAAGGACGGAGUGAUUAGCUACGAUGAUUUCAUGCUUCUAGGCGAAAGAUUUGCUGACCUGGGACAUCUCGGACCGGACGCCAAAAAAGAAUUCCAGAAAGUCCUCGGUGAAAUGUGGGAGGAACAGUGGGGUGAAAUAAGCCCUUACAAUCUUGUUGGCGUUGAAAAGUAUCUGGACGAAAUGCACCAUGUGCUCAAUGAUAAGUCCCUCAAACGCAAGUGUCACAAUUUCCUGCCUUAUUUAUUUAAGGCUGUGGACAAGGACAAAAGUGGCGAAAUCUCGGUUGAAGAGUUCAAACUCUUUUUCCAGUGCUUGGGUCUCACCAGUGAAAACGCCGCGGUAAGUUUCAGCUACAUUGACACCAAUGAUGACGGAAAGCUUAGUCGCAAAGAGUUUGUGAGACUAGGAAGAGACUUCUUUCUCACGGAAGACCAUACGAAACCAAGCAAACAUUUCUGGGGCCCAUUGGUCGCCUAAGGAACGCUGCGAAGCAUCCAACUCAUAAUCACCAGGUCUUCUGGAUUUUAUCAUGACAACGACAGUUCUGUCAUGCCAUUACGUAGCUAAGAUAGAGCAAAGAACAUUUCGACUCGUUAGCUGACUCGUUAACUGAAGAAUGAAUCUUUGGUCCACGCCUGACGAUCGAAGGGCCAAGCCGCUUUAGUCGGCAAUAGGCAGAAAAGAUAAA
RNA transcript from Neodiprion fabricii, 1139 nucleotides. It is a transcript of the gene named sarcoplasmic calcium-binding protein, with no coding region annotated. The transcript is spliced from 8 exons. The record is from RefSeq and is a predicted model, not a curated record. Lineage: Eukaryota; Metazoa; Arthropoda; Insecta; Hymenoptera; Diprionidae.